GGGGGGGGGAAGAUGCCGUUGAGACCCUCACGUCCAGGACCCGAUGGCCCACACCACAAAGGAGCUCCAGUCACCUCAAGGUGAUGCAAAUCCUACGGUCAGCGGGGCCCAACCAACGCUGCCGGGAGACGCCUUGGUACCGUCAACGGUACAAGGGCGGCAGAGCACAGAGGAAAUAGUGGCUCUGUACUGAGUAAUGACAGGCACAUCCGCUAUGGCAGUCAAGGCUGAAAUGGUGAAAACAGCUCCUCGA
Molecule: long non-coding RNA, 253 nt
Filed under: Fukomys damarensis (Damara mole-rat)
Lineage: Eukaryota; Metazoa; Chordata; Mammalia; Rodentia; Bathyergidae
Description: lncRNA (ENSFDAG00000033625.1)
Source: RNAcentral